AGAGUGAACGCUGGCGGUAGGCCUAACACAUGCAAGUCGAACGGCAGCACAGUAGGAGCUUGCUCUUACGGGUGGCGAGUGGCGGACGGGUGAGGAAUACAUCGGAAUCUACCUUUUGGUGGGGGAUAACGUAGGGAAACUUACGCUAAUACCGCAUACGCCCUUCGGGGGAAAGCUGGGGACCAGCAAUGGCCUGGCGCUGAUAGAUGAGCCGAUGUCGGAUUAGCUAGUUGGUGAGGUAAUGGCUCACCAAGGCGACGAUCCGUAGCUGGUCUGAGAGGAUGAUCAGCCACACUGGAACUGAGACACGGUCCAGACUCCU
Molecule: ribosomal RNA, 322 nt
Filed under: uncultured soil bacterium
Lineage: Bacteria
Description: bacterial SSU rRNA
Rfam family: Bacterial small subunit ribosomal RNA
Source: RNAcentral